Molecule: ribosomal RNA, 497 nt
Filed under: uncultured bacterium
Lineage: Bacteria
Description: partial 16S ribosomal RNA
Rfam family: Bacterial small subunit ribosomal RNA
Source: RNAcentral
GAUGAACGCUGGCGGCGUGCCUAAUACAUGCAAGUCGAGCGAACGGACGAGAAGCUUGCUUCUCUGAUGUUAGCGGCGGACGGGUGAGUAACACGUGGAUAACCUACCUAUAAGACUGGGAUAACUUCGGGAAACCGUAGCUAAUACCGGAUAAUAUUUUGAACCGCAUGGUUCAAAAGUGAAAGACGGUCUUGCUGUCACUUAUAGAUGGAUCCGCGCUGCAUUAGCUAGUUGGUAAGGUAACGGCUUACCAAGGCAACGAUGCAUAGCCGACCUGAGAGGGUGAUCGGCCACACUGGAGCUGAGACACGGUCCAGACUCCUACGGGAGGCAGCAGUAGGGAAUCUUCCGCAAUGGGCGAAAGCCUGACGGAGCAACGCCGCGUGAGUGAUGAAGGUCUUCGGACCGUAAAACUCUGUUAUUAGGGAAGAACAUAUGUGUAAGUAACUGUGCACAUCUUGACGGUACCUAAUCAGAAAGCCACGGCUAACUACGUG